GCACCGCGCCGCCGACUCACUGAACACGAUCGAUUCUGCCGACACACCGACUCGCGGUGUUGAUGUCCGACGCAGUUCCAGACCGGGACAAAGGCCGACGGAGGAGCCGGAGCCGCACGAGCUGCACUGCGUCCACCGGCCGGGUCAGUCGACAGAACGGGUGGUCCAACAGUGUGUGGACGGUACUGAGCUCUGUCCACCGGAGCCGACCACGGCGGAGGCGGCGAAUAUCAGAUGGAGAUGACAGAUGUGCGUGAAGACCUGGCCGCCCUUCGCCGGGAGAUGGCCUCACUGAGCAAAGUGGUGGCCGGUGCGGUGGUCCGCCUGGAGCAGGCAGUUAUCGAGGAGCGGACCACUCGCCAGACCGUGGUGGAGGAUCUGCGGCAGGAGGUCCGCCGGCGAGCGGCGCCAUCCGGCCGUCCCCAGGGGGCUAGAAAACAGGCGAAUGACGUCACGGUACAGACGGAGCCCC
This is a long non-coding RNA of Amphibalanus amphitrite, 472 nucleotides long. RefSeq lists it as uncharacterized. The record is from RefSeq and is a predicted model, not a curated record. Lineage: Eukaryota; Metazoa; Arthropoda; Thecostraca; Balanomorpha; Balanidae. The transcript has 3 exons.